This 494-nucleotide ribosomal RNA is filed under the name uncultured bacterium. RNAcentral's name for it is "partial 16S ribosomal RNA". It matches the Rfam family "Bacterial small subunit ribosomal RNA", at positions 28 to 507 of the family's 1533-position model. The record is from RNAcentral.
GACGAACGCUGGCGGCGUGCUUGACACAUGCAAGUCGAACGGAAAGGCCUGCUUUCCCUGGUGGAUUGCGGGUACUCGAGUGGCGAACGGGUGAGUAACACGUGAGUGAUCUGCCCCCAACUUGGGGAUAAGGCUGGGAAACUUGGUCUAAUUCCCGAGAGGACUGCAGGGUGGUGGCUGUGGUGGAAAACGAUUUGCUAGUGGUUGGGGAUGAGCUGGUGGGCUAUCAGCUUGUUGGUGGGGUAAUGGCCUACCAAGGCGGCGACGGGUAGCCAGCCUGGGAAGCUGGACGGAGACAUUGGGCGGGCACUAUGGGCCAGAGUCCCACGGCAGACAGCUGCGGGGAACAGCGGACGAUGGGAGGACGCAUGAUGCAGAGGCGUCGUGUGGCGAAUGACGGUGUGCGGGUUGUGCACUCCUGUUGAAAGCGAGGAAGACACCUGGUUGGAAGGGUGGUGACGGUAGUGGCAGAAGAAGCACCGGCUAACUACGUG